GUAGCCGGGGCCCCGCCCCUCCUCGGACUCUGACGGGUAGUGAACUCGGGGCCGCCGGGCUCCAGAGUCCCUCGGGUCUCAGGUCAUGGCGAUCCCGGGGCCCGCGCCCGGAGCUGGCGCCAGGCCCAGGUUAGAUCUGCAAUUUCUCCAGCGGUUCCUGCAGAUACUGAAGGUUUUGUUUCCUUCUUGGUCGUCACAGAAUGCCUUGAUGUUCCUGACCCUUUUGUGCCUGACCCUCCUGGGCUGGAGUGCAGUGACAUGAUCUCAGCUCACUGCAGCCUCUGCCUCCCUGGUUCAAGCGAUUCUCCUGCCUUAGCCUCCUGAGUAGCUGGGAUUACAAGCACCCACCACCAUGCCCGAUUAAACUUUGUAUUUUUUA
Molecule: small RNA, 379 nt
Filed under: Pongo abelii (Sumatran orangutan)
Lineage: Eukaryota; Metazoa; Chordata; Mammalia; Primates; Hominidae
Description: processed transcript
Source: RNAcentral